AUUGAACGCUGGCGGCAUGCUUUACACAUGCAAGUCGAACGGUAACAGGUUAAGCUGACGAGUGGCGAACGGGUGAGUAAUGCAUCGGGACGUGCCCGAUCGUGGGGGAUAACGCAGCGAAAGCUGCGCUAAUACCGCAUACGAUCUGAGGAUGAAAGCGGGGGACCGUAAGGCCUCGCGCGAUCGGAGCGGCCGAUGUCAGAUUAGGUAGUUGGUGGGGUAAAGGCCCACCAAGCCGACGAUCUGUAGCUGGUCUGAGAGGACGACCAGCCACACUGGGACUGAGACACGGCCCAGACUCCUACGGGAGGCAGCAGUGGGGAAUUUUGGACAAUGGGCGAAAGCCUGAUCCAGCAAUGCCGCGUGCAGGAAGAAGGCCUUCGGGUUGUAGAGCUCUUUUGUCAGGGAAGAAACAGCAGCUCUAACACAGUUUGCGAAUGACGGUACCUGAAGAAUAAGCACCGGCUAACUACGUGCCAGCCGCCGCAGUAA
RNAcentral lists this ribosomal RNA (492 nucleotides) under uncultured bacterium. RNAcentral describes it as "partial 16S ribosomal RNA". It matches the Rfam family "Bacterial small subunit ribosomal RNA", at positions 29 to 523 of the family's 1533-position model. The record is from RNAcentral.